ACGGAAGGCGCAGUGAGGAAUAUUGGUCAAUGGGCGGAAGCCUGAACCAGCCAUGUCGCGUGCAGGACUACGGCCCUACGGGUCUUAAACUGCUUUUGCAAGGGGAUAAAGUGGGGCACGCGUGCCCCUUUGCAGGUACCUUGCGAAUAAGGAUCGGCUAACUCCGUGCCAGCAGCCGCGGUAAUACGGAGGAUCCGAGCGUUAUCCGGAUUUAUUGGGUUUAAAGGGAGCGUAGGCGGGCUGUUAAGUCAGCGGUGAAACCCCCGGGCUCAACCCGGGGACUGCCAUUGAAACUGGCGGCCUUGAGUACGUUGGGAGUGCGCGGAAUGUGUGGUGUAGCGGUGAAAUGCAUAGAUAUCACACAGAACACCGAUCGCGUAGGCAGCGCACUACGCCGCAACGGACGCUGAGGCACGAAGGCGCGGGGAUCGAACAGGAUUAGAUACCCUGGUA
This 453-nucleotide ribosomal RNA is filed under the name uncultured Mangroviflexus sp. RNAcentral's name for it is "partial 16S ribosomal RNA". It matches the Rfam family "Bacterial small subunit ribosomal RNA", at positions 341 to 792 of the family's 1533-position model. Lineage: Bacteria; Pseudomonadati; Bacteroidota; Bacteroidia; Marinilabiliales; Marinilabiliaceae. The record is from RNAcentral.